Molecule: ribosomal RNA, 439 nt
Filed under: uncultured bacterium
Lineage: Bacteria
Description: partial 16S ribosomal RNA
Rfam family: Bacterial small subunit ribosomal RNA
Source: RNAcentral
CUACGGGACGCUGCAGUGGGGAAUAUUGCACAAUGGGGGGAACCCUGAUGCAGCAACGCCGCGUAGAGGAAGACGCAUUUCGGUGUGUAAACUCCUUUUAUAUAGGAAGAUAAUGACGGUACUAUAUGAAUAAGCACCGGCUAACUCUGUGCCAGCAGCCGCGGUAAUACGGAGGAUGCAAGCGUUACUCGGAAUCACUGGGCGUAAAGCGCACGCAGGCGGCUAAAUAAGUUGGAAGUGAAAUCCACUGGCUCAACCAGUGAACUGCUUCCAAAACUGUUUGGCUAGAGUCUGGGAGGGGAAGAUGGAAUUAGUGGUGCAGGGGUAAAAUCCGUAGAGAUCACUAGGAAUACCAAAAGCGAAGGCGAUCUUCUGGAACAGUACUGACGCUGAGGUGCGAAAGCGUGGGGAGCAAACAGGAUUAGAUACCCGAGUAGUC